Pelodiscus sinensis (Chinese soft-shelled turtle) is the source of this 4803-nucleotide non-coding RNA. Lineage: Eukaryota; Metazoa; Chordata; Testudines; Trionychidae. The record is from RefSeq and is a predicted model, not a curated record.
ACAGGAAUUCUACAGAGGGGGGACGUUUUCUGCAGGCAUGCAGUCACACGGAAUCCCUCCAGGAGUAAUGAGUAAAGUUAUUCACAUGUCUAAAGACAGGACCUUAUGUACUAUGCGUAAGUAGGAGGAGAGUGGAGAAGUUGUCACAGACAAAUCCUUCUAUAUUCUUUUAGGUUGCAUUUUUUAAUCAAGUCUGGUAGGUUUUCAUGGAAUUCUGUGUAUAUGUUGAAUUAGAUAUGACAAACUAGGAAAUGCCCCUUGAACUGCGCCCCUCUUAGAAACAUACUUUUGUUGCAUUCAUGGAACUAAGUGGCCUGCUAGAACUUGUCUUAGAGCUUGUCAACAUAGUGAGGUAAUUAAUGCAUACUGUAGGGUAAUUGAAAUCAACAUAUUUGAAAAUGUAGAAAAAAAUCCAAAAAUAUUUAAUAAAUGUCAGUUGGUAUUUUGUUGUUUAACGCUGUGUCUGAGAUCUGUUUUGUUUGGGGAGGAAAGGGCGCUGGCAGCCUCUGUUCUGUAGGAGCUGGGCUCUUUGCAUCCCAGCAGAAUAAUGUACAAGGAAUUUAAGAAAAUGAAUCUCAUUAGGCUUACAGUAGCUCCCUUCUUUGGGUUUCCCUGAGAGAAAGGAUGUAGGACAUGGGAAUUGCAAUUCUGGAUGAGACCAUUGGCCACUUAAUCCAGUAGCCUGUUUCUGACACUGGCUGUCCCUCUGCAAGGUAGCAGGGGAAUUGACUCUUGUUGGAAACUAUAAAUGGAUGGUUUUAAGAAUCGUUGUUAAUGAAGCAGUAGAGCUGAGCUGAGUAAAAUAGAUGAGAUUUUAAUGCUCAGAUUCACUCAGCGUCACAUAUUAAAUAUACCAAAAUGUUUUUUCUUGUAGUGAAUAACAGGCCUACUAGUACUUUAUAGAAUUGUACCCAAUGAAGGAAUCGCAGUGAGGGCAUAGCAAAGUUGGAAAAGCACCUUUAGAAUGGCUGCAUUAUUAUACUGAUUCAGUGUAGUGCCAGUGGUCAGAUCAUUCUCUUAAACCACUGCAUUGAUAUAGCCGCAACAUUGUACUUUCAGUAAACAUAGUGCAUACGCUCUAGGGUUUUUCCAUCAGCAUAGGUAAUCUCCCUCCCCAGAAAGGGUAGCUAGGUCAGUGGAAACUUUUUUUCAUUGACCUCGCGCCACCUAUAACAGGCGUAAGCAGUGUUUCUUAAACUUUUUAAGACUGAGGAAUACCAAACAAUUUUUUUUAUGGGAAACACCAAGGAUUUUUUUGUUGAGCCCCCCCCCCCCCCAAAAAAAAAGGUCGGGGGGGGGGAGGAGAGAUAUUGAGCAAAAAAAAGGUUACCUGCCUCAAAAGGUUGGCCAUUUUGAAUACUGUUGUUCUCCGUGGCACACGGUUUAAGAAACACUGAGCUUAAGUGAACAAAGUUGCAUUUCUCAGCAGUAUCAGUUUUUCAUACUACUAAGGAGGAGAACUAUGCUGAUAUAAAUUUCCAGUGAAGACCUUCCUUUGAAGUGACAGGGAAUACUUAGGGCUUUAUGUCUGCACUAGUUGAGGGCAAGUAUGAAGGAGGUGUACGGCUGUGAGCAUUUUGUGGAAAAUGUUAAUAAAUUUCACAGCAGAGCUUUGGUAAUAGUUAUGAAAUUAAAAGAAUGGCAGUUUAAGUUUGAUUAAGAAAAUAAGAUAUUUACUGUGUGGUUUGUGAAUAGUAAGGAAAAGGUCCAGAAAAAUCAGCAAGUAAAAGAAGGCAAUGAGAAUAAUAAUAUUACUUAUAGUGGGGGCCUGGGAAAGAUGUAUGGUUUAAAGAGCAACCGAUAAAGUGAAAAGCUGCAGUAACAAAACAAAGGAAAACUGUCUUAAAAGAAAUAAGCACAACCCUUCCCACUGUUCUGCUAGUAAGAGGUAGGGCAGGGGAGAUAAGGAAGGCCUUGGAGGAAGGAAAGUAGCAAUGCUAAACUGCUUCAAACUGGUUUUUUUUUUUAAAUUAGCAAGUUAGCUGAAGUGCACAAAGAAAGUUGUGAAUUUGAAGGUUCUUUGUCAGACCUUACCUCCUCGUGCUGGAGCGUGCCAAAACGAGGUCCCUUCCAGUUCUAGUAUUCUGUGAUUCUGAGACAGUUUCCCUAGGUCUGGCCUAUUUCUAAAUACCAGUCACUAGGAAUGUUAGAUAUAAUUUAAUUGAAUAGUCGUGUAACUGCACCAAACCUUAUUGCCUACUCAGUUACUUGAUAGUCCCUGGAUAUGGUGCUGGCAGCUAGUGCACUCCUGGCCCCAUUUCAGGGGGAGCCCCUGCCACCCCGCAAUACUGACUCUGACACAGACAAGCAGUGUGGGAUGGCAACAGCCUCUAUCUGCAGGGGGCCCAAGCUCCCACCCUUUGGGCUCCCUUUGUGGCUCGGUUCUAGCUAUGCAUUUUGCUUAGCUGGAGUUGUGUACCUUAAGCCAACCUUCCUGGUCUAGUACAGACCAGGCCUAGGUGAGUGUCUGCAAUUGGUUAUUCUUCAAAUUCUAUGAAUGUAGUUGCCAGCAGUUAUGACUUACCACACAGCUCUUUCUAAGCAAGCCCAUUUAUUCUUAAAGUGAAAGCAUCAAAGAGAAGACACACAAAACAAUAAAAAUGAUAAAUUAUUAAUAGUAAAAUGUCCCUUCUAAUUCUUUGUAAAUGCAUUAUGCUACCUUAACUAUGUAACUAUUGGAAAAUCAAUUUUAUUAAGUGAUGAAAUGUACAACUUGUAUUUUCAGUAUUAAAAAUAAAAAGAAAUUCAACUGGGGCAUUUAAUUGUAGCUUGAUUUUUUUGGUAUGGUGGACAUAGCUUGGGGGUAUAUAUUAAGGAAAAUUUCCUAUUUGUGGUUAUAAAUUCACAUACGUUUUAAAAGAUCAUUUUGAUUUAAAUUUUUUUCAGUAAAGACAGUGGAGUACUUCUGUGAGUGAAGGAUUGCAGAAUCAGGCCCCAAACAUGUGAUUGCAUAAUUAUGUUUGCUCAUUCGAGUUUGUCAGCUUUUCUCCAGUUCAGAACUAGAAUAUUUUUAAUUAUUUUUCUUUUACAGAAUUUGGUCAGACUUCUCCAAUUAAUCAAUCAUACAUAGUAUGUAAAAUACUAUAUUUUUAAAGCGUGUGUCUUGUUAGAAAAUGACAGCUGUCACUGCAUUUCUCUUAUAAUGAACUCUGAUGGAAAGAAGCUAUGGCUCAUGUGUUUGGUGCAUGCUAAUAAAGUAAUGAUAUUACUAGUAAAUUCAUGGCAUGUUCAAAGCUAGUCUGUCUGACAAUAACCGACUUGCAGAACAACAGCUUACUAAGGUAGUGACAGAAGCGCAUUAGAAGUGUCAUUCAUAGUCUUAACCAGUGAACUGAAAUAUAUUAAUGCUUGUCAGUCACUCUCCUAACCAUAUUUUCUCCCUUUUUUUCUCACUUUCCCCCUCCUCCUGUUUAUCAGUUUGAAACACUUGUACAUUGUGUGCUGGGGUUCAGAUGGUUCUACAUGCAUUUGGGGACAGAUUUUUGAAAACUAAAGGUGUGUGUUGAAAAGUAUCUAAAAAGUUGUACGUGCUGUUACACAACUGCAUGCCCAAAUGGUUCAUUGGGCACCUAAAUUGCUGUCUGAAAUUGCACAUGUAAUUUUGGUAAAUGUAUGCACACUUCUUACACAAUCAAAUUGGGUUUUUUUAUGUGGAUCUGAGCAUCUGCCUUCUGAACAUUUGGCUCUGAAAAUCCAGAUGGACGUUUGCUUCUUCUUAAAAUAGGGUCCAUUUCUUUAAAAUUGUACCAGUGAAGGUGAAUUGGACACAGUAUGAGACAGGAGUACAGAGGAUCAAACAGUGUUGUCACCCUAUUCUGGGAUGUCUCUGUGGGUGCUCCACUGUAGGUACUGGGCUACUUUUCUGGAAGCAGUAUCCGGCUGGACCGCGCAUGUGCCAUGGCAUCUCACGGCAUUUGCGCCCUUUUGCCUGAGUGCGCAGUCUGGCCCCCGCCAGUUCCUCUCGACCACCUCAGGCUGCAGAUGAAAUGAACUGCGCUCUUCUUCAACUUGCCUUGUCAGAGAAGAGAAGAGAGAGAAAUAAGAAAAUUCUAAAAGACUAAAAUAAUCAUUAUGCUGUCGUUGCCUGGGUUUAAAAAGUUCAACUCUUGCCGCGAGGCAAUGCCUGCUUCGGACAGCCAUUCCUCCUGUAUCAGAUGCCACACCCUGCUUCUGCCUCAGAGGAUCAGCCCUCAACGCGCAGGGCCUCGUCUCCUUCAGCAGCGUCGCCAACCAGAUCUUUACCCUCCGUCUUGCAUGACAGAGUCAGCUCUGGAGACAAGCCCACCACUUCUGGCACAGUGAAACCGCGUUCAAAAAUACCCACGGUGCCGAAGCUGACGAAAUCGGGAGAAGCGGCACAGUCUGCAGCACCAAGGAUUGCAUCGGCUCCGCCUGCACCCAAGCCACCGGCACCGAGAGCGUCAUCGGCACCGAUAGCUACAAAAUUGGCAUCGGUGGGCUCUACGGCACUGGACAAUCAUGCAGCACCAGUGAGUGUAGCACCACAUCCAUCCAUGGUCGGCACCGAGACCCCGGCACCGACAAUUCCCCCACGCCGAAGCUGCUCCCGUUCACUAGUUUUUUCUCCGGCACCGUCUCCCUUCUCCACUGGCACCGCAUUCUCCAGCUUACCACGAUAGCCGUCACAGGUCUUCAUGCUCCCCACAACAAUUAUCAUCUCCUUUUCUCACAUCAUACCCUGACCAUGGCAGACAUCACCAUUGUCAUCGCUCCAUCUCUUCUGCUUCCUCCAGAGCUUCUUACAUCAGCGCUCGCUCUCCACACUCUUCCCACAUCCAUCAU